Molecule: ribosomal RNA, 301 nt
Filed under: uncultured bacterium
Lineage: Bacteria
Description: partial 16S ribosomal RNA
Rfam family: Bacterial small subunit ribosomal RNA
Source: RNAcentral
CAGUCGCCGCGGGAAUACGAAGGGGGCUAGCGUUGUUCGGAUUUACUGGGCGUAAAGCGCACGUAGGCGGAUCGAUCAGUCAGGGGUGAAAUCCCAGAGCUCAACUCUGGAACUGCCUUUGAUACUGUCGAUCUGGAGUAUGGAAGAGGUGAGUGGAAUUCCGAGUGUAGAGGUGAAAUGCGUAGAUAUUCGGAAGAACACCAGUGGCGAAGGCGGCUCACUGGACUGGUAUUGACGCUGAGGUGCGAAAGCGUGGGGAGCAAACAGGAUUAGAUACCCCUGUAGUCCCUGUCUCUUAUAC